This is a regulatory RNA element of 50 nucleotides. It matches the Rfam family "Xanthine riboswitch aptamer (NMT1 RNA)". Rfam says of the family: Later it was reported as a ncRNA that recognised Xanthine. The record is from Rfam.
CAGCGGAGUAGAAGCGUUCAGCGGCACGCCGCCCGGAAAUUGCUCCCGAU